AUACGGAGGAUCCGAGCGUUAUCCGGAUUUAUUGGGUUUAAAGGGUGCGCAGGCGGCCAUUUAAGUCAGCGGUUAAAUCGUGGGGCUCAACCCCAUUCUGCCGUUGAUACUGGGUGGCUUGAUUGCGGUCGAGGUUGGCGGAAUUCGUUGUGUAGCGGUGAAAUGCAUAGAUAUGACGAAGAACACCGAUUGCGUAGGCAGCUGACCAGACCGCAAAUGACGCUCAUGCACGAAAGUGCGGGGAUCGAACAGGAUUAGAUACCCUGGUAGUCCGCACAGUAAACGAUGAAUACUAGGUGUUGGGAGGAACUAUCCUUUCGGUGCCGCAGCAAACGCAAUAAGUAUUCCACCUGGGGAGUACGUUCGCAAGAAUGAAACUCAAAGGAAUUGACGGGG
Molecule: ribosomal RNA, 396 nt
Filed under: uncultured bacterium
Lineage: Bacteria
Description: partial 16S ribosomal RNA
Rfam family: Bacterial small subunit ribosomal RNA
Source: RNAcentral